Molecule: transfer RNA, 52 nt
Filed under: Saccharomyces cerevisiae YJM689
Lineage: Eukaryota; Fungi; Ascomycota; Saccharomycetes; Saccharomycetales; Saccharomycetaceae
Description: partial tRNA-Asp
Source: RNAcentral
AGAAUGGGCGCUUGUCGCGUGCCAGAUCGGGGUUCAAUUCCCCGUCGCGGAG